RNAcentral lists this ribosomal RNA (992 nucleotides) under Salmonella enterica subsp. enterica serovar Typhimurium. RNAcentral's name for it is "partial 23S ribosomal RNA". It matches the Rfam family "Bacterial large subunit ribosomal RNA", at positions 161 to 1193 of the family's 2925-position model. Lineage: Bacteria; Pseudomonadati; Pseudomonadota; Gammaproteobacteria; Enterobacterales; Enterobacteriaceae. The record is from RNAcentral.
AAUCCAUAGGUUAAUGAGGCGAACCGGGGGAACUGAAACAUCUAAGUACCCCGAGGAAAAGAAAUCAACCGAGAUUCCCCCAGUAGCGGCGAGCGAACGGGGAGGAGCCCAGAGCCUGAAUCAGCAUGUGUGUUAGUGGAAGCGUCUGGAAAGGCGCGCGAUACAGGGUGACAGCCCCGUACACAAAAGCGCAUGUGCUGUGAGCUCGAUGAGUAGGGCGGGACACGUGGUAUCCUGUCUGAAUAUGGGGGGACCAUCCUCCAAGGCUAAAUACUCCUGACUGACCGAUAGUGAACCAGUACCGUGAGGGAAAGGCGAAAAGAACCCCGGCGAGGGGAGUGAAAAAGAACCUGAAACCGUGUACGUACAAGCAGUGGGAGCACCCUUCGGGGUGUGACUGCGUACCUUUUGUAUAAUGGGUCAGCGACUUAUAUUCUGUAGCAAGGUUAACCGUAUAGGGGAGCCGGAGGGAAACCGAGUCUUAAUUGGGCGUUAAGUUGCAGGGUAUAGACCCGAAACCCGGUGAUCUAGCCAUGGGCAGGUUGAAGGUUGGGUAACACUAACUGGAGGACCGAACCGACUAAUGUUGAAAAAUUAGCGGAUGACCUGUGGCUGGGGGUGAAAGGCCAAUCAAACCGGGAGAUAGCUGGUUCUCCCCGAAAGCUAUUUAGGUAGCGCCUCGUGAAUUCAUCUCCGGGGGUAGAGCACUGUUUCGGCUAGGGGGCCAUCCCGGCUUACCAACCCGAUGCAAACUGCGAAUACCGGAGAAUGUUAUCACGGGAGACACACGGCGGGUGCUAACGUCCGUCGUGAAGAGGGAAACAACCCAGACCGCCAGCUAAGGUCCCAAAGUCAUGGUUAAGUGGGAAACGAUGUGGGAAGGCCCAGACAGCCAGGAUGUUGGCUUAGAAGCAGCCAUCAUUUAAAGAAAGCGUAAUAGCUCACUGGUCGAGUCGGCCUGCGCGGAAGAUGUAACGGGGCUAAACCAUGCA